This 407-nucleotide ribosomal RNA is filed under the name uncultured bacterium. Its description in RNAcentral is "partial 16S ribosomal RNA". It matches the Rfam family "Bacterial small subunit ribosomal RNA", at positions 28 to 526 of the family's 1533-position model. The record is from RNAcentral.
GACGAACGCUGGCGGCGCGCUUAACACAUGCAAGUCGAGCGAAGCGGCGGACGGGUGAGUAACACGUGAGUAACCUGCCUUAGACAUUGGGAUAGCCUCGGGUAACCGGGAUUAAUACAACAUGGGCUAAGAUGGACUCGCGUCCCAUUAGCUAGUUGGUGAGGUCACGGCCCACCAAGGCGACGAUGGGUAGCCGGCCUGAGAGGGUGAACGGCCACAGUGAAAGUGAGAAGCGGUCCAAACUCUACGGGAGGCAGCAGUGGGGAAUAUUGCACAAGGGAGGGAACUCUGAGGCAGCGACGCCGCGUGAACGAUGAAGGCUUUCGAGUCGUAAAGUUCUUUUAUAUGGGAAGCGGUACUAUAAGAAAAAGCCCCGGCUAACUACGUGCCAGCCGCCGCGGUAAUAC